AACCGGUCCUUUCAUUUGGUCAAAGUAGAUGAAGAAGAAAGCUAAAAAGUUCCAAUUCUUCUCAUCUCGAACUCAGAGAAAUAAAGGGGCAUGUACAUUGUACAGUCUUUAAUUAAAGACUUAAAGUCCCUUUAGAUCUAUUCGCCUCUUUCUUCUCUCAAGAGUCAAGGCGACAUAAAGUCCCUCUUACGCUCCUCUGAUUCUUUUAAAUCGUCUUUCUACCUUCCAACUUACAGGUUGCUGGUCGGAAUUCCCACGGAAUUUUUCUGUUCAGCUCUUUCUUCUCCCAAGAGUCAAGACGACUUAAAGACCCUCAUACGCUCCUCUGGUUCUUUUACGUCGUUUUUCUGCCUUCUAACUUACAAGUUGCUGGUAGGAAUUCUCACGGAAUGUUUACUUAAAGUGAGACAAAGUACUUGGGUCAAAGUACUUGGAUGGGAUUUGACCAAAUCUGAGACGGACGCACCCUGCACCAGUGUUGCGUAGAGACGGGUUCGGCGGCAAAAAUGACGAGUCCGCCCAACAUAUAUAUCAACAAAAGGACAUCUCAUGGGAGUUGAGACACUAUCGUAUGCUUUUUGCUAGCAUUUGCACAUCUCCACUGAUAAUUCCACAGGAAAACCUGCCACCACCCACCAGAAGCAACCACCAGGUAACUCUGUUCACCAAGGCUACAACAAAUGGGAAUAAAUCAC
Molecule: long non-coding RNA, 695 nt
Organism: Capsicum annuum
Lineage: Eukaryota; Viridiplantae; Streptophyta; Magnoliopsida; Solanales; Solanaceae
Exons: 3
Source: RefSeq, a predicted model, not a curated record